UCUGGGAAACUGCCUGAUGGAGGGGGAUAACUACUGGAAACGGUGGCUAAUACCGCAUAACGUCGCAAGACCAAAGAGGGGGACCUUCGGGCCUCUUGCCAUCAGAUGUGCCCAGAUGGGAUUAGCUUGUUGGUGAGGUAACGGCUCACCAAGGCGACGAUCCCUAGCUGGUCUGAGAGGAUGACCAGCCACACUGGAACUGAGACACGGUCCAGACUCCUACGGGAGGCAGCAGUGGGGAAUAUUGCACAAUGGGCGCAAGCCUGAUGCAGCCAUGCCGCGUGUAUGAAGAAGGCCUUCGGGUUGUAAAGUACUUUCAGCGGGGAGGAAGGUGUUGUGGUUAAUAACCGCAGCAAUUGACGUUACCCGCAGAAGAAGCACCGGCUAACUCCGUGCCAGCAGCCGCGGUAAUACGGAGGGUGCAAGCGUUAAUCGGAAUUACUGGGCGUAAAGCGCACGCAGGCGGUCUGUCAAGUCGGAUGUGAAAUCCCCGGGCUCAACCUGGGAACUGCAUUCGAAACUGGCAGGCUUGAGUCUUGUAGAGGGGGGUAGAAUUCCAGGUGUAGCGGUGAAAUGCGUAGAGAUCUGGAGGAAUACCGGUGGCGAAGGCGGCCCCCUGGACAAAGACUGACGCUCAGGUGCGAAAGCGUGGGGAGCAAACAGGAUUAGAUACCCUGGUAGUCCACGCCGUAAACGAUGUCUACUUGGAGGUUGUGCCCUUGAGGCGUGGCUUCCGGAGCUAACGCGUUAAGUAGACCGCCUGGGGAGUACGGCCGCAAGGUUAAAACUCAAAUGAAUUGACGGGGGCCCGCACAAGCGGUGGAGCAUGUGGUUUAAUUCGAUGCAACGCGAAGAACCUUACCUGGUCUUGACAUCCACGGAAGUUUUCAGAGAUGAGAAUGUGCCUUCGGGAACCGUGAGACAGGUGCUGCAUGGCUGUCGUCAGCUCGUGUUGUGAAAUGUUGGGUUAAGUCCCGCAACGAGCGCAACCCUUAUCCUUUGUUGCCAGCGGUCCGGCCGGGAACUCAAAGGAGACUGCCAGUGAUAAACUGGAGGAAGGUGGGGAUGACGUCAAGUCAUCAUGGCCCUUACGACCAGGGCUACACACGUGCUACAAUGGCGCAUACAAAGAGAAGCGACCUCGCGAGAGCAAGCGGACCUCAUAAAGUGCGUCGUAGUCCGGAUUGGAGUCUGCAACUCGACUCCAUGAAGUCGGAAUCGCUAGUAAUCGUGGAUCAGAAUGCCACGGUGAAUACGUUCCCGGGCCUUGUACACACCGCCCGUCACACCAUGGGAGUGGGUUGCAAAAGAAGUAGGUAGCUUAACCUUCGGGAGGGCGCUUACCACUUUGUGAUUCAUGACUGGGGUGAAGUCGUAACAAGGUAACCGUAGGGGAACCUGC
RNAcentral lists this ribosomal RNA (1402 nucleotides) under Salmonella enterica subsp. enterica serovar Bredeney. Its description in RNAcentral is "bacterial SSU rRNA". It matches the Rfam family "Bacterial small subunit ribosomal RNA". Lineage: Bacteria; Pseudomonadati; Pseudomonadota; Gammaproteobacteria; Enterobacterales; Enterobacteriaceae. The record is from RNAcentral.